Long non-coding RNA from Mauremys reevesii (Reeves's turtle), 1270 nucleotides. RefSeq lists it as uncharacterized. The record is from RefSeq and is a predicted model, not a curated record. The transcript has 3 exons. Lineage: Eukaryota; Metazoa; Chordata; Testudines; Geoemydidae.
GGCUGCAAGAAGGAGGAACAAAUUAGAAAGAACUGAAUGCAUGCACCAAACAGAUCCAGUAAAUAUUAAGGAGAUUGAAUUGACUACAUGGCUGGAGUACCAGAUGAAGAUGGCACUCACUGCACCCUAUCACAGACUCAGGCUCAGGAUCCUUGGGCCUGAUGAAGCUGCAUUUACACUGACGAUCUGGCCCUUGGUCUUAAAAAGUGUGCCUCUGAAAGAAACCCUGAGUGGUGGUGGAGAUCCUCACACAGCACCCUCCUACAUUGAGCCCCGCUGGAGAAAGCAGCAUUCUGACUCUAUUUAUGAAAAAUCAGUGACGAGGGAACACACCCUGGAAAUAACUUGGAUUGUAAGCUCCUUGGGGGGAAAAGGUGGCCUUUUUUCUGUGUUUACACAGUGCCUAGUAUAAUGGGCUCCCGGUUGGGCUUCUAGAUGCUACUGCAAUAGAAAUAUUUGUAGCUGGUUUGUAGUUCUACUGCAAUAGAAAUAAGAAAUAAUACCAAUAACUACAAAAGAGGCAAUGUUUUUAUUAAUAUAGGGCUAACUUCUACAGUAUCUAUUGAAAUAACUCUCAUUCUUCCAGUGGGAGUUUUGCCUGGGGAGGACUGCAUCAUUUGGCUGAUAUGUUGUUUUUAAAAAAAAAACACAUUCUUUCAGACCCUUAUGAUUCCUUCUCUAUCUUUACUCACAUUUACAGCCACAUAAACACUGAGUACAAGUGGCUGCAACUCCCUCGACUUCAAUAGAAUUGCUCUUAAUUACAAUAGGUGUGAAUUAUUUAUUUGCAUUAUGGUAGAACCCAGAAGGCCUAAAUGCAUAAUAAGAAAGUCCUGGCCAAGAUCUGUUUACAAGCCAAACCGAAACAAGGCAAAACAAAGCAAAAUAACAAGAGGGAGAAAGCAUAAACCUAACAGUGACAAGAUCACACAGUCUCACCGACUAGCUAGUGCACACCUGCAUGAUUCCAAAACUUUUGAAAGUUAAAAACAAUAUAUUAAUGAAUUAUAUUUAUUUGAAAGUACUCUUGUGGUAAGGAUGAGGAUAUAUUCCUGAAGGUGGAGAAAGGAAUUUUUAAAUUCCUUAGAUUUAUUGACUGGAAGACUUAAUUUGUCACCCCCCGUAUGGUUAUUGAAUUCUGUUGUCUGUUUCAGUUAGAUACCUGAACAUGAAUAUUUAAUGCUGCUGGCUGGCUCAGUUAACGUGUUACCUAUGUAUGCAUAUUUAAGGCUGCUGGCUGGUGAUCAUUAUGUUAAGUUUAAUAAAUUGU